RNAcentral lists this ribosomal RNA (636 nucleotides) under uncultured cyanobacterium. RNAcentral's name for it is "bacterial SSU rRNA". It matches the Rfam family "Bacterial small subunit ribosomal RNA", at positions 98 to 767 of the family's 1533-position model. Lineage: Bacteria; Bacillati; Cyanobacteriota. The record is from RNAcentral.
GCGGACGGGUGAGUAACGCGUGAGAAUCUGCCCUCAGGACGGGGACAACAGCUGGAAACGGCUGCUAAUGCCCGAUGUGCCGAGAGGUGAAACAUUUAUGGCCUGAGGAUGAGCUCGCGUCUGAUUAGCUAGUUGGUGGGGUAAAAGCCUACCAAGGCGACGAUCAGUAGCUGGUCUGAGAGGAUGAUCAGCCACACUGGGACUGAGACACGGCCCAGACUCCUACGGGAGGCAGCAGUGGGGAAUUUUCCGCAAUGGGCGCAAGCCUGACGGAGCAAGACCGCGUGCGGGAGGACGGCCUAUUGGUUGUAAACCGCUUUUGAUAGGGAAGAAGUUCUGACGGUACCUAUCGAAUCAGCAUCGGCUAACUCCGUGCCAGCAGCCGCGGUAAUACGGAGGAUGCAAGCGUUAUCCGGAAUUAUUGGGCGUAAAGCGUCCGUAGGUGGUUGUUCAAGUCUGCUGUUAAAGCGUGCGGCUUAACCUGCAUACCAGCAGUGGAAACUGGGCAACUAGAGUGCGGUAGGGGUCAGGGGAAUUCCCAGUGUAGCGGUGAAAUGCGUAGAUAUUGGGAAGAACACCGGUGGCGAAAGCGCCUGACUGGACCUGCACUGACACUGAGGGACGAAAGCUAGGGGA